CUGAGGUGGUUUCAUGAAAGAGGAAGCAGCAAGGCUGGGCCUUGAAGAACGUGAAGGAGUCACCCAGCUAGAGAGGGCAGGAGGGUGUUCCACGAAGUACAAACAUCAUGAACAGAAAGUCAAAGAGUGAAAGUGAAGGGAGGAUUGGGGAGCAGUGAACAGACAAUGUGAGAGAGCUGCGGCACCAUGGAGAAGAGUAAUGAGAGGGACAUCCUGAAGGAAAGACAAUAUGAAGGACUGUCGAUGCCAAAGAAAGGACUUUCAGCCAUAUGCACGCAAUGGGGAGCAAUGCAAGAUUGUCAACCAAGAGACUGAGGUGACCAGAUCUGCUUCACAGCAGCAGCAGCAGCAGUGUACAUGGAAGAUUAGAGGACCGAGAGAGAUGCAUGUCAGGAAAAUCAGCUAACAGACUCUAAAAUAACUAAGACUUGAGAAAGAUCUGGAUCAAAGCUUUAACAGCAGCAAUAAAGAAAAAAGAAGAGACAUUUCUGUAAUCAGAUCUAGAAAAGUUGAUGACCCCCAGGAUAACAGCCAUGAAAGUGAGAAGUGCAGGACACAAUGGUUUAAGCUUGGAAUCUCAGCCACUCCGAAGUCGCUGAGGCAGGAGAAUCACUUGAGCCUAGGAAUUUCAGGCUGCAGUGCUGCUACCACAAACAUGAGGAAACUUCUGUUAGGAGUUCAACCUUCAGAGAGGACAGCUGGCAGUGCAAGAUGGUGACAGCCCUGCAAUCAGGAGAAGAAAGUCAUGAGAGUAAGGAAUGAUGGAGAGGGAUGAGAGCGUUUUCUAGGAUUUGAAGAGUUAAGAGACUCUGAAUAAUUGGCAGGGGAAGCUGGGAUGGAGAACAAAGUAGGAGAAGAAUCAUUUGCUGUGAACUCUGUAUUUGGAUUCCAUUUUUGAUGAUCUUUGAAAAUGGGAAUAAAGGAUUUGGGUUAUUUUUAAAUUCC
RNAcentral lists this long non-coding RNA (945 nucleotides) under Homo sapiens (human). RNAcentral describes it as "HSALNT0332728". Lineage: Eukaryota; Metazoa; Chordata; Mammalia; Primates; Hominidae. The record is from RNAcentral.